Brachypodium distachyon (stiff brome) is the source of this 181-nucleotide non-coding RNA. Lineage: Eukaryota; Viridiplantae; Streptophyta; Magnoliopsida; Poales; Poaceae. The record is from RefSeq and is marked provisional.
GGAAGGGUAGGAUACGUUUUUGCUUGCCCGUGGCCGCGCUAACAUUAGGCUUGGGGACUAUGGUGCAGCCAAGGAUGACUUGCCGAUCGAAACGAUGCACAAUAUGCAUCGAUCGGCGAGUUGUUCUUGGCUACAUCUUAGCUCCUGCCCCUCAUGUUAGGCCGGCAUGCGGUGGUAUGUA